AUUGAACGCUAGCGGGAUGCUUUACACAUGCAAGUCGAACGAGUGGCGGACGGGUGAGUAAUAUAUCGGAACGUGCCCCGUAGCGGGGUCUCACUACUCUAAAGAGUGGCUAAUACCGCAUACUAUUGUAACGGGCGAUAUCGGAUUAGCUAGUUGGGGGGGUAAAGGCUCACAAGGGCAACGAUCCGCAGCUGGUUUGAGAGGACUAACGGCAACACUGGGACUGAGAAACGGCCAAGACUCCGACGGGAGGGAGCAGUGGGGAAUUUUGGACAAUGGGGGAAACCCUGAUACAGCCAUCCCGCGUGUAUGAGAAGGCCUUCGGGUUGUAAAGUACUUUUGGCAGAGAAGCGGUAUCUGAAGAAUAAGCACCGGCUAACUACGUGCCAGCCGCCGCGGUAAUUC
Molecule: ribosomal RNA, 405 nt
Filed under: uncultured bacterium
Lineage: Bacteria
Description: partial 16S ribosomal RNA
Rfam family: Bacterial small subunit ribosomal RNA
Source: RNAcentral